This 429-nucleotide ribosomal RNA is filed under the name Chloroflexota bacterium. RNAcentral describes it as "Chloroflexi bacterium partial 16S ribosomal RNA". It matches the Rfam family "Bacterial small subunit ribosomal RNA", at positions 355 to 776 of the family's 1533-position model. Lineage: Bacteria; Bacillati; Chloroflexota. The record is from RNAcentral.
UGGGGAAUAUUGCAUAAUGGGCGCAAGCCUGAUGCAGCCAUGCCGCGUGUAUGAAGAAGGCCUUCGGGUUGUAAAGUACUUUCAGCGGGGAGGAAGGGAGUAAAGUUAAUACCUUUGCUCAUUGACGUUACCCGCAGAAGAAGCACCGGCUAACUCCGUGCCAGCAGCCGCGGUAAUACGGAGGGUGCAAGCGUUAAUCGGAAUUACUGGGCGUAAAGCGCACGCAGGCGGUUUGUUAAGUCAGAUGUGAAAUCCCCGGGCUCAACCUGGGAACUGCAUCUGAUACUGGCAAGCUUGAGUCUCGUAGAGGGGGGUAGAAUUCCAGGUGUAGCGGUGAAAUGCGUAGAGAUCUGGAGGAAUACCGGUGGCGAAGGCGGCCCCCUGGACGAAGACUGACGCUCAGGUGCGAAAGCGUGGGGAGCAAACAGG